UACGGGGGAUGCAAGCGUUAUCCGGAUUUAUUGGGUUUAAAGGGUGCGCAGGCGGAAUGUCAAGUCAGCGGUAAAAUUUCGGGGCUCAACCCCGUCGUGCCGUUGAAACUGGCGUUCUUGAGUGAGCGAGAAGUAUGCGGAAUGCGUGGUGUAGCGGUGAAAUGCUUAGAUAUCACGAAGAACUCCGAUUGCGAAGGCAGCCUGCUGGACUGUAACUGACGCUGAGGCUCGAAAGCAUGGGUAGCGAACAGG
Molecule: ribosomal RNA, 252 nt
Filed under: uncultured Bacteroidales bacterium
Lineage: Bacteria; Pseudomonadati; Bacteroidota; Bacteroidia; Bacteroidales
Description: partial 16S ribosomal RNA
Rfam family: Bacterial small subunit ribosomal RNA
Source: RNAcentral